GAGGUGCCACGUGUGGUUCACAUGGUUGAAAACGGAUCCUGCCUUGGCACGGUCGACACGUAGCUAGGGGGUUCUCUUGUGUAGCGAAGAAAUGGGGCGGACCGGACCAUGCCUUCUCCCGAGUCCCGGCCAACCCGGCGGCGCGCUUUGGCCAACGUCGUCGCGUUCUUCGUACGCCACAGGCGGUGGCUGCGUCCUUGCCUCGCGAAUAUUUUUCGCCCUGCACGCUCGCCGCCACCGCCUAGCCGUCCUCUCCCCUUCCCUUUCCUGGAGGCACCACGCACUGCACGGAGGUUGCCUUCUUCCGCGGCCAUCCUCUUCUGCCGCCCGGAUCUCGCGGCGUGCCGACGCUGUGCCUACGGGCCUCACUGCGAAGGCACCGAGGUGGACACAAGCGUCGAGCCUUCAGCCCCUCACCCAUGACACUAGCGCCGGUACAAAAAUGUACAGCCGCCAAAUCCUUGGUUCCUCCUCGACGUCGUCGCCGGUUCAGAUGGAGAUGCAGUUCAUGGCGGCCUCCGAUGAAAGCCUAGCUGUUGUCAUCACCUACCUCAAGGCCCAUGCUGUCGGCCUCCUCGACCUCUUCCCGCCGCCGUAGCCGCACAUCCAGAUUUGCCUCCUUAUUCCAAGAUAUGGCCGUCUUUGUCCGCGCUGCCCCAGCCCCGGCGUCGGAGCUCUGCUUCAGGCUACCAAGCUAAUUGGGGAGGUGCUGUUGCUAUAGAGAAAAUAUGAUCCACUGAAUGGAUUCAUUGAGAAGAUUAAUAAGGCGCUCUGAAAUGGAUGUGAUUCCAUAGCUUCACUGUUGGCUUCUGCAUUGUAAGCUCUGUUUCAGUCAAGAGUGCUCUGUGAAUCACUCUGCAGAUCUUUCAUGAUGUUUUGGAAAUUUUCCACAUGUUAGAAGGAUAGGCGCCAACUAUGGCACUAUCUAAAAAUUUACCUUCAACGUUGAUGGGGAUUUACUUUCCCUGUAAUGUUGAGCAAACAAGCAUUCAGCUUUAGGAUGCAAAUUGUCGUAGGCUGGAUAUUUACUUUCUUCAUGGUGUUCAACAUUAAGCUUUAGUGUAAAUGGGCUCUAA
Long non-coding RNA from Panicum hallii, 1076 nucleotides. RefSeq lists it as uncharacterized. The transcript has 3 exons. The record is from RefSeq and is a predicted model, not a curated record. NCBI's taxonomy places the organism in Eukaryota, Viridiplantae, Streptophyta, Magnoliopsida, Poales, Poaceae.